GCAGCCGCCACGGGAAAACGGAGGGUGCAAGCGUUAUCCGGAUUCACUGGGUUUAAAGGGUGCGUAGGCGGAUCUGUAAGUCAGUGGUGAAAUCUCCAGGCUUAACCUGGAAACUGCCGUUGAUACUAUAGGUCUUGAAUUUUGUGGAGGUUAGCGGAAUAUGUCAUGUAGCGGUGAAAUGCAUAGAUAUGACAUAGAACACCAAUUGCGAAGGCAGCUGGCUACACAACUAUUGACGCUGAGGCACGAAAGCGUGGGGAUCAAACAGGAUUAGAUACCCCCGUAGUCCCUGUCUCUUAUAC
This 302-nucleotide ribosomal RNA is filed under the name uncultured bacterium. RNAcentral describes it as "partial 16S ribosomal RNA". It matches the Rfam family "Bacterial small subunit ribosomal RNA", at positions 508 to 807 of the family's 1533-position model. The record is from RNAcentral.